This 460-nucleotide ribosomal RNA is filed under the name uncultured bacterium. RNAcentral describes it as "partial 16S ribosomal RNA". It matches the Rfam family "Bacterial small subunit ribosomal RNA", at positions 338 to 795 of the family's 1533-position model. The record is from RNAcentral.
CCUACGGGUGGCAGCAGUGAGGAAUAUUGGUCAAUGGACGAGAGUCUGAACCAGCCAAGUAGCGUGAAGGAUGACUGCCCUAUGUGUUGUAAACUUCUUUUAUAUGGGAAUAAAAUGUUCCACGUGUGGGAUUUUGUAUGUACCAUAUGAAUAAGGCUCGUCUAACUCCGUGCCAGCAGCCGCGGUAAUACGGAGGAUCCGAGCGUUAUCCGGAUUUAUUGGGUUUAAAGGGAGCGUAGGUGGAUUGUUAAGUCAGUUGUGAAAGUUUGCGGCUCAACCGUAAAAUUGCGGUUGAAACUGGCAGUCUUGAGUACAGUAGAGGUGGGCGGAAUUCGUGGUGUAGCGGUGAAAUGCUUAGAUAUCACGAAGAACUCCGAUUGCGAAGGCAGUUCACUGGACUGCAACUGACACUGAGGCUCGAAAGUGUGGGUAUCAAACAGGAUUAGAUACCCCGGUAGUC